GCGCUCUUAGUUCAAUGGUAGAACAGAGGUCUCCAAAACCUUUUGUUGUGGGUUCGAUUCCUUCAGGGCGUG
This 72-nucleotide transfer RNA is filed under the name Apicomplexa sp. corallicolid ex Leiopathes glaberrima. RNAcentral describes it as "tRNA-Trp". It matches the Rfam family "tRNA". From Rfam's summary of the family: Transfer RNA (tRNA) molecules are approximately 80 nucleotides in length. Their secondary structure includes four short double-helical elements and three loops (D, anti-codon, and T loops). The record is from RNAcentral. Lineage: Eukaryota; Apicomplexa.